Molecule: long non-coding RNA, 262 nt
Filed under: Lathyrus oleraceus (garden pea)
Lineage: Eukaryota; Viridiplantae; Streptophyta; Magnoliopsida; Fabales; Fabaceae
Description: Pisum sativum (pea) long non-coding RNA (PSAT_LNC024996)
Source: RNAcentral
AGUUUGUCAUUAACCAAAAUCAUUAUGCAGGUUGAUUCUAAAACCCAUUGAACAUAAUGAUCCAACGCCAUCUCCCAAUUUUGAAUUCCCUGUAUUCGAGGCAGAGGAAGAUGAUGUUGAAGGGGAUUCCUGAUGAGAUUACCCGACUUCUUGAGCACCAAAGGAGCUCAUUCAGCUGUAUCAUGAGAAUCGGCAAAACAGUCAAACUGGGGCAUUACAAAUGUAAUGAAAAGAAAAAGAGAGAGGGUGAAAAAAAAUAAGG